AGUGAACGCUGGCGGUAGGCCUAACACAUGCAAGUUGAACGGCAGCACAGUAAGAGCUUGCUCUUACGGGUGGCGAGUGGCGGACGGGUGAGGAAUACAUCGGAAUCUACUUUUUCGUGGGGGAUAACGUAGGGAAACUUACGCUAAUACCGCAUACGACCUACGGGUGAAAGCAGGGGAUCUUCGGACCUUGCGCGAUUGAAUGAGCCGAUGUCGGAUUAGCUAGUUGGCGGGGUAAAGGCCCACCAAGGCGACGAUCCGUAGCUGGUCUGAGAGGAUGAUCAGCCACACUGGAACUGAGACACGGUCCAGACUCCUACGGGAGGCAGCAGUGGGGAAUAUUGGACAAUGGGCGCAGGCCUGAUCCAGCCAUACCGCGUGGGUGAAGAAGGCCUUCGGGUUGUAAAGCCCUUUUGUUGGGAAAGAAAAGCAGCAGGUUAAUACCCCGCUGUUCUGACGGUACCCAAAGAAUAAGCACCGGCUAACUUCGUG
Molecule: ribosomal RNA, 492 nt
Filed under: uncultured bacterium
Lineage: Bacteria
Description: partial 16S ribosomal RNA
Rfam family: Bacterial small subunit ribosomal RNA
Source: RNAcentral